AUGGAGCAGCAGAAGGAGGAGGGGCACGCGGCGGCGGUGACCAAGAGGCGCAUGGCGCAGCCGACCAAGAAGGCCGGGAACAUGGCCACCGGCGACAAGGAGCCCGAGUUCCUCGACGAGCCGUCCUCGCCGACGAGGCCCGCUACAGGGAUGGAUGAGAGGAUCUGA
This 168-nucleotide ribosomal RNA is filed under the name Triticum aestivum (bread wheat). RNAcentral's name for it is "partial small subunit ribosomal RNA". Lineage: Eukaryota; Viridiplantae; Streptophyta; Magnoliopsida; Poales; Poaceae. The record is from RNAcentral.